Long non-coding RNA from Numida meleagris (helmeted guineafowl), 1922 nucleotides. Lineage: Eukaryota; Metazoa; Chordata; Aves; Galliformes; Numididae. The record is from Ensembl.
GUCCGCGUUCUCCCCGCGCAACCUGCGCGUGCGCUGCGAGGGCUGCGCAGGAGGUGCUGGGGCGCGUCCCGGCCCUGCAGCGCCGGGGGCUGCGCGCAGCGGGAUCGGAUAACGUGUGCGCGUUGGGCGCCGGAGCAGGUGAAAACCAGGCUAAUAACAUAUUAUUAAAAACUGAACAUUUGAGCAGAAAAAAAAAUAUUUUAAAAUUAUACCUAUGUGUAUGUAUUAAAUAUUUGUUCCCCCUCCGCAAUCAUCGCACUUUACAGGCAGCUUCCCCCCGCCCGGCGCUGCCCCGUUACAGCGCUCCCGGGGAUCUCCCCCUCCCAAAGGCUCCGAGAAUCGCGGCGCGGAGCGUGCAGCUCCGAGUGCGCGGCGGGGCCCUGCCGCAUUCCAGCGCUCUGCUAUGGAGCUGGCUGCGCCUGCAGAGUAAGGGAACGCCGCGGGGGAGGAGAUAAUAGUUAAAAAUUGGGAAUAAAAUAAUAAGAAGGGAAUGCCUGCCAGCCUGGGCGCGCACCUUACCCCGCCACCCCGCGGAGGGGGUACACUUGUUGCCUCCCCCCUCGGCCAACAGCCAGAGUCGGGCGGGAGGGCGGCUGCGCAGCGCUGCGCUGCGCUGUGCCGCGUCGUGCGGUGCCAAACCGCGCCGUGCCGAGCCGAACCGCCGGGCGGCCCGUGGGUGCGCACGGGGUGGGCGUGCCGGGGGCACCGGCGAGGCCGGCCAUGCAGAUGGAGGGGGCGGGACGCGGACGCCGUGACUCGGAGCCCCGGAAGAGCGGAGAAACCCCGUAUAAAAACUACUGGGGACCUUUCCCGGGCAGAACUACGAAAGCUCCGGAGACGGCGGCAGGGAGCGGUGCGGCGCGGGGCGGCCUCACCGACGGCGCGGGGCGGCCUCAGCCCCGGCGGGGGGCGAGGGCAGCGGCGGCUCCGCAGGCGCGGAGGAAGGGCAGCGAGGAGCCGCAGCGGGGCCGGGCAGCCCGCGGAGGCCGCGCACCAUGGCGGACGAUGAGAAGGCCGGCGGGGGUUACGCGGGAGGCUGCGAGAGCGCGCACUGCAACGUGCUGAGCUGGGAGCAAGUGCAGCGGCUGGAUCGCAUCUUCAGCGAGACCAUCCCCAUCCACGGCCGCGGCAACUUCCCCACGCUGGCCAUGCAGCCCCGGCAGAUCGUCAAGGUGGUGCGGAGCCGGCUGGAGGAGAAGGGCAUCGGGCUGCGGGACGUGCGGCUCAACGGCUCGGCCGCCAGCCACGUCCUGCACCAGGACAGCGGCCUGGGCUACAAGGACUUGGACCUCAUCUUCUGCGCCGACCUCAAAGGGGAAGCCGAGUUUCAGACUGUGAAGGACGUGGUCUUGGACUGCCUCUUGGAUUUCUUGCCCGAGGGGGUGAAUAAGGAGAAGAUCACGCCGCUCACCCUCAAGGUAAGCCCACAGAGCUGCCCACUGAGUGCGUGGAGUGCGCAGGUGUAGCGCCCGCCACGAGCAGGGUGCGUGGGGCACCGCGUCCCUGCACACCCGACACCCAGGGGUGACAUUGCCCCGCACCUUUGGAAGCAGAGCUUGCGGGAAGGUGCCCUAGCUGGUGCUGCUCGGCUCUCCUUCCUCGGAGCCAAGUAGUUUGCCGGGAGCAUUGCUCCACCCGGCGUGCCCAGAUGCCCCGGUGGUGCGAUGCCCGCUGUGCCAAACCCGAGGUGGUGGGGGGCGAGCAGGGAGCUGCCGCUGGCUCUGCACACUUCGCAGUGUGUCUCAGUGCCCCGGCGGUGCUCCCUCGCUGCACAGACAGCCUGCUCCGGUUUAUUAGGGCUGUGAGCCAAAUGCCUUUGAGAUUUCUAGAGGAGCAGUGUGGAAGUUGCACUGAAGGAACGGGGCUGAGGACAGGGAACAUUAGCUGAGUGUUCAUUAGCUGAGUGUUUUUUUUGUUCUUGU